UACGAAGGGUGCUAGCGUUGUUCGGAAUCACUGGGCGUAAAGCGCGCGUAGGCGGCUUUUCAAGUCAGGGGUGAAAUCCCACGGCUCAACCGUGGAGUUGCCUUUGAAACUGGGAAGCUGGAGUAUUGGAGGGGAUAGCGGAAUUGCUAAUGUAGAGGUGAAAUUCGUAGAUAUUAGCAGGAACACCGGUGGCGAAGGCGGCUAUCUGGACAAUUACUGACGCUGAAGUGCGAAAGCGCGGGGAUCAAACAGG
This 253-nucleotide ribosomal RNA is filed under the name uncultured bacterium. RNAcentral describes it as "partial 16S ribosomal RNA". It matches the Rfam family "Bacterial small subunit ribosomal RNA", at positions 524 to 776 of the family's 1533-position model. The record is from RNAcentral.